UGGGGAAUUUUGGACAAUGGGCGCAAGCCUGCUCCAGCAAUGCCGCGUGCAGGAUGAAGGCCUUCGGGUUGUAAACUGCUUUUAUACCGGAGAAAACCUCUCCUCGUGAGGAGAGCUGAUAGUAUGGUAGGAAUAAGCACCGGCUAACUUCGUGCCAGCAGCCGCGGUAAUACGAAGGGUGCAAGCGUUACUCGGAAUUACUGGGCGUAAAGCGUGCGUAGGUGGUGGUUUAAGUCUGCUGUGAAAGCCCUGGGCUCAACCUGGGAAUUGCAGUGGAUACUGGAUCACUAGAGUGUGGUAGAGGGAUGCGGAAUUUCUGGUGUAGCAGUGAAAUGCGUAGAUAUGCGGAGGAACACCGAUGGCGAAGGCAGCCUCCUGGGCCAGUACUGACGCUCAUGCACGAAAGCGUGGGGAGCAAACA
RNAcentral lists this ribosomal RNA (421 nucleotides) under uncultured bacterium. RNAcentral's name for it is "bacterial SSU rRNA". It matches the Rfam family "Bacterial small subunit ribosomal RNA", at positions 355 to 774 of the family's 1533-position model. The record is from RNAcentral.